GACAGAGGUGCCAAGCGUUAGGCGGAAUCACUGGGCUUAAAGCGUGUGUAGGCGGAAUGGUAAGUACCUUGUGAAAUCCCACGGCUCAACCGUGGAACUGCUGGGUAUACUGCUUUUCUUGAGCCACUUAGGGGCUGUCGGAACAAACGGUGGAGCGGUGAAAUGCGUAGAUAUCAUUUGGAACGCCAACGGUGAAAACAGCUGGCUGGGGGUGUGCUGACGCUGAGACACGAAAGCCAGGGGAGCGAACGGG
Molecule: ribosomal RNA, 253 nt
Filed under: uncultured bacterium
Lineage: Bacteria
Description: partial 16S ribosomal RNA
Rfam family: Bacterial small subunit ribosomal RNA
Source: RNAcentral